Molecule: long non-coding RNA, 2571 nt
Organism: Astatotilapia calliptera (eastern happy)
Lineage: Eukaryota; Metazoa; Chordata; Actinopteri; Cichliformes; Cichlidae
Source: Ensembl
CCUUGUUUCCGAUCGCAUUUUGAGUCGUUUUGGGGGUUAUUUUAAGAGUCGAUAUGUUGACAUCAAGACAACCGUGCGGGAGAUCGGUUUAGUAAUUAAUAGUCGAUGUUAUGAAUUUUACAGUGAUGGAUCGAUUGGCAUUAGGAACAAGUAGAAGCAUCUCACCCCCUGGAUGGAAGAUUCAGUCUCCCGCUUCGGUUCCAGCACCGAAUGACUGAGGUCUGAGGACGGACAUUUUUUGCAGUGUUGCCAUCGACGACUGGAGGGGCUGGGGGGGGGGGGGCUCUGACAGGCACAAUUUACAUUGAGCUCGCCCCGCGCUGCUAUUUACUUUGAAACCUGAUUAGUAUGGGCCGUCUAUUGUCACCAAAAAAGAGGAAGAAACCCUGGACAGAAUAGCAAAAAAGCGGGGUAAAGGAAAGAGUGGACAAAGAUUUUACGCACGACAAAUAUACCCAAAAAAAAAAAAAAAAAAAAAAUGUACACAGCGGCAAAAGGGGGAUUCUGCUUCAGAAAUUCCCCGAAGUUUCAAAAUGGUUUGUCUCGGACUGUUAUCUUCAUUAUAGAAUUAACGGAUGUCAUUAAUGUUUUGCCAUGGAUUGAUAUUUUCACAGGCUGUUUUGUCCUUGGCAUGCGCAUUGCGGUACAUCGUUGCCUGUAAUCGGCACAGUCUCGCUGAUUAAAACUUAACGUUUAGUUUAAACCAGUUAAUAAGAGAAAGAAAAUGUCAGUGGGAAGAAUGAUGCAUAAAAGACAGUGUUAUACAAACGGGAUGCCUUGCCAGCGGCCGAAAAUCUCUAAAAUUAGACCGAGGAAUGAGCAAUAUUCAAUAAUUACCAAGGUCCUAUAGUCUCUACAAUCACUGAGCCGGUGUCAUAUUAUGUCUUAAUAAUGACAGUAAUUCAAAAUGUGAAGUUACUGACAAUUUGCAUGGGGAUUCCGGCUUUUUUCUUGUACCAGGGUUUCUGCAGGCUUACUGCCUCUCCAACUCAAAAAUGUCUGGAUCGCGCUGCCAUCUAGCGUACAUUGUACAAUUACAGCCUCAUAUAAAUGCAUCCAUAACUCAUCAGACAUGCAUUUUAAAUCGCAAAAGCGGAUUUUAAAAAUAUAAAAGUCCGAACUUUGCCGCUGUUGUCUUUUAUCCUUUGUGUGGAUAAAAGACAACAGGAUAUUUUUAUCCACGAGGUUAUGAAAUGUACAACUGUUUUGUUGUUAGGGAUGUAUAACUUAAACAAACAAAAAACAAAACACAACAAAAAAACCCACCAAACCUUCAGCGAACAUAAAAAAUACGUGUUAUUACAUCUGAAUAAAUAUAGCGACAAUAAUACACUACACUCUUGAUCGCACGGAAUAUAGAUUGAACACAAACCCCCAAACCGUGUGCGUACAUGUCCAAAAACAUGGUAAUACCGUGCUGAGACUCAGUAACUAUGCACAAUACGUAUAAUUGUUGUUUAAUGAAUUAAAGACGUUGUAAACAGAGCUUUAACCUCACCGAGAUAAUAGCAGACAUAAAGGAGCGUUAAUAUGCAAGUGCCCCCUUUGUAAACGCAUAGGAGGGAUGGGUUGUUUUUUAAGUAUUCAACAAGAGAGCUCUCUCUCCCGUCCCUGUCUCGGACACUCCACUGAAACUCCCCGGCCAUAUCUCUAGCUCUUUGAAAAGGUGAAACCAAUAAGAUUAAAUCGGACAAAGAUUUUUUUUUCUUCUUCUGUAAGUGUAUCAUUAAGAUUUAACUCUACAGAUUGGAAAGGGUCUCCGCGGGAGAAGAGGAGAGGAGAGUGAGAGUGAGAGGGACAGCGAAUGGGAGCAGGGUAGACGCUCUAAUAGAAUCUGGGAAUCGGCAAGAGUAAAAAGGAGAAAGUGGACGUCAGGACAUUAAAAGAAGAAGCGCCAGCGACGGUGGUUAACGGUAGCGGAGCAGCUUUCUACGUGGGCAAACCGGGCACCGAUAAGGGGCACAGAAGUGUCUGGAAGUGCAGUCACAUUAAGCAAAGAGGAACACGGUGGCCUGCUGCCUGGACACACAGUGGGACAUGUUGGUGUGGUGAAGGGCUGACACUCGGAUGAGAUGUAAUUUAUGGCAAGUGUUGUGUGGUCAUAGGACAGUGACAGUGACGCGUCUGCUUAGAAGCACGAGAAUUGCGACCACGAAGAGCGGUAAAUAUAACAUAAAAGAAUGCUACCACCUGUGUCUUGAGGAAGAAAGGAGCCAACCACCCGCAUUCCUUUUACCAGGAGCUGGUAAAGGUAAGUGGAGCCCCCUGUUAAAAUAAGGCAGCAAAUAAAGGUUUUGUUGUAGUGUUUCUGCAUAAACUGUCAUUUUUUUAACGCAAUGAACCUCACCACCCUUCAUCAGCUACAAAAGUCACUGUUAUAUGAACACACACAGUCACCAUCGAUGACUGUGCAGCCACAAUUGUUGCAAAGGAGCCUCGAGACCAACAAAGCUGGCUGAGACGGUAGCGCCGAAUGGAUCACGCUCUUGAAUUUGAUUUCAUAAUGAUGUAAGAUUACUAAGAGGCAAUGCAACACAGCAAAGAUCUUAAUAAAAAACACAUCAAUCUUGA